This 908-nucleotide ribosomal RNA is filed under the name Hyphodermella rosae. RNAcentral describes it as "partial large subunit ribosomal RNA". It matches the Rfam family "Eukaryotic large subunit ribosomal RNA", at positions 44 to 958 of the family's 3401-position model. Lineage: Eukaryota; Fungi; Basidiomycota; Agaricomycetes; Polyporales; Phanerochaetaceae. The record is from RNAcentral.
CAAUAAGCGGAGGAAAAGAAACUAACAAGGAUUCCCCUAGUAACUGCGAGUGAAGCGGGAAAAGCUCAAAUUUAAAAUCUGGCAGCCUUCGGUUGUCCGAGUUGUAGUCUGGAGAAGCGUUUUCCGCGCUGGACCGUGUACAAGUCUCCUGGAACGGAGCGUCAUAGAGGGUGAGAAUCCCGUCUUUGACACGGACUACCAGUGCUUUGUGAUGCGCUCUCAAAGAGUCGAGUUGUUUGGGAAUGCAGCUCAAAAUGGGUGGUAAACUCCAUCUAAAGCUAAAUAUUGGCGAGAGACCGAUAGCGAACAAGUACCGUGAGGGAAAGAUGAAAAGCACUUUGGAAAGAGAGUUAAACAGUACGUGAAAUUGCUGAAAGGGAAACGCUUGAAGUCAGUCGCGUUUGCUAGAACUCAGCCUGGCCUCGGCUUGGUGCAUUUUCUAGUGAACGGGCCAGCAUCACUUUUGGUUGCGGGAUAAAGGUCGCAGAAAUGUGGCACCCUCGGGUGUGUUAUAGUCUGCGGCUGUAUACCGUGGCUGGGAGUGAGGAACUCAGCACGCGCAAGCUGUGCUUAGGAUGCUGGCGUAAUGGCUUUAAACGACCCGUCUUGAAACACGGACCAAGGAGUCUAACAUGCCUGCGAGUGUUUGGGUGGAAAACCCGAGCGCGUAAUGAAAGUGAAAGUUGGGAUCUCUGUCGUGGAGAGCACCGACGCCCGGACCAGACCUUCUGUGACGGAUCCGCGGUAGAGCAUGUAUGUUGGGACCCGAAAGAUGGUGAACUAUGCCUGAAUAGGGUGAAGCCAGAGGAAACUCUGGUGGAGGCUCGUAGCGAUUCUGACGUGCAAAUCGAUCGUCAAAUUUGGGUAUAGGGGCGAAAGACUAAUCGAACCAUCUAGUAGCUGGUUCC